Molecule: ribosomal RNA, 223 nt
Filed under: uncultured bacterium
Lineage: Bacteria
Description: partial 16S ribosomal RNA
Rfam family: Bacterial small subunit ribosomal RNA
Source: RNAcentral
CGUAGGUAACCUGCCUGGUAGCGGGGGAUAACUAUUGGAAACGAUAGCUAAUACCGCAUAAUAUUGACUAUUGCAUGAUAGUCAAUUGAAAGGUGCAAAUGCACCACUACCAGAUGGACCUGCGUUGUAUUAGCUAGUUGGUGGGGUAACGGCUCACCAAGGCGACGAUACAUAGCCGACCUGAGAGGGUGAUCGGCCACACUGGGAUUGAGACACGGCCCAG